CUCACGAUAAGUCUGAUCAUUUUUGCUAAUACUAAGCGUGAACAUAUUUGAUUGGGGAGACAAAUGGGGUCUGAUAAAAUUUGAACUCAAGACCUCUAACUCUGAAUCCCUACCGACGCUGGUGUGCGAAAGCAUGCGGAGCGAACAGGAUUAGAUACCUUGAUAGUCCAUGCUGUAAACGAUGAGUGUUCGCCCUUGGUCUACGCAGAUUAGGGGCCCAACUAACGUGUGAAACACUCCAUCUAAGGAGUACGGUCACAAGACCGAAACUCAAAGGAAUUGACAGGGCCUGAGAAUAUUAGAAUCAAUGGUCAAAAGCUUUGAUUGAUAAUAACGUGU
Molecule: non-coding RNA, 339 nt
Filed under: Eucalyptus grandis
Lineage: Eukaryota; Viridiplantae; Streptophyta; Magnoliopsida; Myrtales; Myrtaceae
Description: Bacterial small subunit ribosomal RNA
Rfam family: Bacterial small subunit ribosomal RNA
Source: Rfam by way of RNAcentral